ACCGGCAACUAGCUCUCUGCAACUCUCACAUGGUCACCCACUGUAGCUAAAGGGGGGCUGAGCCUGGUCAGUACUUCGAUGGGAGAACACAUGGGAAAGCUAGGUUGUUGCCAUUA
RNAcentral lists this ribosomal RNA (116 nucleotides) under Danio rerio (zebrafish). Lineage: Eukaryota; Metazoa; Chordata; Actinopteri; Cypriniformes; Danionidae. The record is from RNAcentral.